Molecule: ribosomal RNA, 1008 nt
Filed under: uncultured organism
Description: bacterial SSU rRNA
Rfam family: Bacterial small subunit ribosomal RNA
Source: RNAcentral
UGCAGCGACGCCGCGUGAGUGAAGAAGGGCCUUUCGGGUUGUAAAACUNNCUUUUGAGUGGGGAAGAGCGAGGACGGUACCCCUGUGAAUAAGCGUCGGCUAACUACGUGCCAGCAGCCGCGUGUAAGACGUAGGACGCGAGCGUUAUCCGGAUUUACUGGGCGUAAAGCGUCUGUAGCCGGAUGCGUAAACUGGGGCGUGAAAGCUCCGGGCUUAACCCCGGAGAGGCCGUUCAAUACUUGCAUAACUUGGAAGGGUGUCCAGAGGGGAAGCGUGAAUUCCCUGGCGUAAGCCGGUACAAAUGCGCAGAGAUCGGGAAGGAAACACCAGUGGCGGAGGCGGUUCCCUGGGGCACACCUGACGCUGAGAGACGAAAGCUUAGGGGAGCGAACAGGAUUAGAGACCCUGGUAGUCCUAGCCCUAAACGAUGAAUGCUAGGUGUGGGAUCGAAUGGUUCCGUGCCGGAGCGAACGCGAUAAGCAUUCCGCCUGGGGAGUACGGCCGCAAGGUUAAAACUCAAACGAAUUGACGGGGCCCCGCACAAGCAGCGGAGCGUGUGGUUUAAUUCGAUGCUACACGAAGAACCUUACCUGGGUUUGACAUGUAGGUGGUAGUGAAUCGAAAGGUGAACGACCCUUCGGGGAGCCUACACAGGUGCUGCAUGGCUGUCGUCAGCUCGUGCCGUGAGGUGUCGGGUUAAGUCCCGUAACGAGCGCAACCCUUGCUCCUAGCUACAAGUGUCUAGGGGGACUGCCGGCGGAAAGCCGGAGGAAGGUGGGGAUGACGUCAAGUCAGCAUGGCCCUUAUAUCCAGGGCUACACACACGCUACAAUGGUCGGUACAAAGGGCAGCGAAACCGCGAGGCGGAGCGAAUCCGAGAAAAGCCGAUCGUAGUUCGGAUAGCAGGCUGCAACCCGCCUGCUUGAAGCUGGAGUUGCUAGUAACCGCGCGUCAGCCAUAGCGCGGUGAAUACGUUCCCGGGGCUGUACACACCGCCCGUCACGUCAU